This 452-nucleotide ribosomal RNA is filed under the name uncultured bacterium. Its description in RNAcentral is "bacterial SSU rRNA". It matches the Rfam family "Bacterial small subunit ribosomal RNA", at positions 355 to 796 of the family's 1533-position model. The record is from RNAcentral.
UCGAGAAUUUUUCUCAAUGGGGGAAACCCUGAAGGAGCGACGCCGCGUGAAGGAAGAAGGUCUUCGGAUCGUAAACUUCUGUCAUUUGGGAGCAAUGAGUAAGGGGAGUAACUGCCCAGUACUUUGAUAGUACCAGAAGAGGAAGGGACGGCUAACUCUGUGCCAGCAGCCGCGGUAAUACAGAGGUCCCGAGCGUUGUUCGGAUUCAUUGGGCGUAAAGGGUGCGUAGGCGGCGAGGUAAGUCAGGUGUGAAAGCUUGGGGCUCAACCCCAAAAGAGCACUUGAUACUGCUUUGCUACGAGGACUGGAGAGGAGAGUGGAAUUCACGGUGUAGCAGUGAAAUGCGUAGAGAUCGUGAGGAAGGCCAGUGGCGAAGGCGGCUCUCUGGACAGGACCUGACGCUGAGGCACGAAAGCUAGGGGAGCAAACGGGAUUAGAUACCCCGGUAGUCC